GUCGAGCGGACAGAAGGGAGCUUGCUCCCGGAUGUUAGCGGCGGACGGGUGAGUAACACGUGGGUAACCUGCCUGUAAGACUGGGAUAACUCCGGGAAACCGGAGCUAAUACCGGAUAGUUCCUUGAACCGCAUGGUUCAAGGAUGAAAGACGGUUUCGGCUGUCACUUACAGAUGGACCCGCGGCGCAUUAGCUAGUUGGUGAGGUAACGGCUCACCAAGGCGACGAUGCGUAGCCGACCUGAGAGGGUGAUCGGCCACACUGGGACUGAGACACGGCCCAGACUCCUACGGGAGGCAGCAGUAGGGAAUCUUCCGCAAUGGACGAAAGUCUGACGGAGCAACGCCGCGUGAGUGAUGAAGGUUUUCGGAUCGUAAAGCUCUGUUGUUAGGGAAGAACAAGUGCAAGAGUAACUGCUUGCACCUUGACGGUACCUAACCAGAAAGCCACGGCUAACUACGUGCCAGCAGCCGCGGUAAUACGUAGGUGGCAAGCGUUGUCCGGAAUUAUUGGGCGUAAAGGGCUCGCAGGCGGUUUCUUAAGUCUGAUGUGAAAGCCCCCGGCUCAACCGGGGAGGGUCAUUGGAAACUGGGAAACUUGAGUGCAGAAGAGGAGAGUGGAAUUCCACGUGUAGCGGUGAAAUGCGUAGAGAUGUGGAGGAACACCAGUGGCGAAGGCGACUCUCUGGUCUGUAACUGACGCUGAGGAGCGAAAGCGUGGGGAGCGAACAGGAUUAGAUACCCUGGUAGUCCACGCCGUAAACGAUGAGUGCUAAGUGU
RNAcentral lists this ribosomal RNA (779 nucleotides) under Bacillus sp. Y477_1. RNAcentral describes it as "bacterial SSU rRNA". It matches the Rfam family "Bacterial small subunit ribosomal RNA", at positions 61 to 823 of the family's 1533-position model. The record is from RNAcentral. Lineage: Bacteria; Bacillati; Bacillota; Bacilli; Caryophanales; Bacillaceae.